ACAUUAAAAUAGUGCAAGGUUUUUUAUUGAAUGAGUUUGACGUAUUUUUCCGAUAAAAGAAUUCGAUAUUAUAAAAUUUGAUUAAACCUUUUAUUGAAUUGUUUCUGAGCGAAAUGAUUAUUAUUUUUUAAUUCAAAUUUUUGAUAAAAAAAAAUUUAUAUUUAAUUGAAAUAUUGUGUUUGAUGUAUUAAUAGAAAAAUAUCAAUAAAAACAAUUCUCUAAAGUGAAAAAAUAUUUUUAUCAUUCAAAAAAUGAAAAAAAGAAGUAAAGAAAAUGUUCUUGAUAGUGAUGAGUGUAACGAAAUUGUGCAAAAAAAACUAGUUCAAGAUUGUAUGGAGGAUUAUUCGCUAAUCAGCUAUGAAAUAAUUCCAUUGGACAGUACUACAGGAUACAUGGGUGAAUAUUUUACUUUAAAAGCAAUUGUAGGUCGAAAGACAAAUCUUUCAGACAAAAAAACUCUUCAAUUUUUUGCUAAAUUACCUCCACUUACUGAUAGUCCACUUCAAAAUUUUAAUCUUGAACAAGGCUCAUUUAAAAAAGAAAUAGAUUUAUAUACUAAAGUAUUCCCUCAAUUGUUGACUGGUGAAAUGGACUUCAAUAUUCCUAGAUGUAUUCUUGGACUCGAUGAUAAUCUGAUAGUGCUAGAAGACAUGAGUACUCAGGGAUAUAAAAUGACUGACAAAUUUACACCUUUUGAUUUUGAUCAUUGUAAAAUUAUGAUGAGCACUCUAGCUAAAUUCCAUGCUAAGUCACUAAUAUUUGAAGAAGUUCAUAAAAAAAAUCUGAAUAAUGAAUUUUCUUACUGUCUGCAUGAGACCCUUUGGCCAACUCAAGACGGAUUAGCCAAAAAAACGUUUCAUGCUGCUGUGAAAGGAGUUAUUUCUAUGAUUGACUUAAUACCAGGUUUAAAGGGGUUGAAGAAAUCUCAAUUGAAAAAGAAGUUUAUAGAAUUAUCAACUCAUCAUGCGGAAAACUUGAAACCAUCAAAACACCAUCGAAAUGUUAUAUGUCAUGGUGAUUUGUGGGCAAAUAAUAUUCUUUUUCAGUAUGAUAAUCAAGAAAAGCCAAUUUCUUGCUGCUUGAUAGAUUUUCAACUUGCGAGAUAUAAUCCACCAGCUCACGAUGUCAUGUGUUUUUUAAAUUUUACCACAACAAGAGAAUUACGCAAAAACUGCAGCUUGGAACUUUACAAAAUUUAUUAUGAUCAACUGAUUCAGUCCUUAAAAAAUGCCAAAUUACAAAAUCUUGGCAUUAUUUCAUGGGAAGAUUUCAAUAUCUCUUUGAAAGAUCUUCGUCUUACACAUUUACUUCAUGGAAUUUUAAAUUUGAAUGUUAUGAUAUUACAUCCUAAAAUUUUGGGUGAAUAUUUUACGAAUCCUAAACUUUUAGAAGAAGCUCUCUACGUCGACAGAACACCUUUAAUUUGUGCACAAUUUCGAACCAUAAAAGAAUACAGAGAGAGAAUGAUUGAAAUAAUAUUUGAGUUACAUGAAGAAAUUCAAUUUACUCUGAAUGACUAAGUCAUUUUAACAGACAGAAACCAAAAAGACAUCUGUUUUGAGUGCAAGCAAAUUAAAAGUGAAAAAUGAUUCAGAUGUAUCAAAUGCGAAUAAAUUUCCGGAAGUUGGAGAAACCGUGCAACUACUGUGGUACGAUCAAUUACUCCAUGGAGCCAGGAUUCUGCGUUACCAUCUGUCGAAACAAUAUUUAGAAAAAUUGAUUGUGUCAACUGAUAGUGAAAUCACACCUCUAAAAUCUUCAACAUCGAAACGACCAUUGUCCCAUAGUUCAUCAGAAGAUAACAAACAGAUGAAAAAGAGACAAUCAGGGGUAAAGGAUGAUUUUAUCAAAAAACUUGUUCAUAAAAUAAUUGAAAAUACGAAAGAUAAGCAAAUAGAAGAAGGAAAAGUACAAAAUGGUCCUAAUAUUUUGAAAUCGAAGUGUGGAAUAUGUUCACUUUUUUCCAAUGUCCCACCAGAAAUCAUUAAUUUCAUGGAGAAACUGACGAAUUUAUUAAAGAUCCAUCAAGAAAAGGAAACCUUUAUCCAAAAUAAUCACUGCGAUGUACACGAGAAAGAGAAAAAGUUAGUAGAUCCAGAGAACAUUCUAUCAUGGAAAAUAUACAGCGCUGACAAAAUUAAAUUAACCAAAAAUCAGGAGUAUGGAUCCGAGGAGCAGAUCUAAAAUUUAUAAGCAAUAUGACAGAAAAAAAUUGGAAAGAAAUGGCUCGACGACUUUGAAAACAUUAUAUUGGAGAGAAACCACUAUCGCAACUGUAUGCUGUAGGAGGUAAGAAUCGCAAAAGGAAUAGAUCCAACUCUCAGGAAAGCAGUAAAAGAGUAUGUCUCGACGAAAACCAACUUACGUUUUUCGACCGGAGAAUAUCAUCGAGUCAUCAACCUUAUGUGUUCUACUCUACGAGGAAAAGUGGGAAAUAAUGAUUUCGCAGCGGAUCUGAACCAAGAAUGAAGUGAUCGAAAAAAAUGAGAAAAAAAACCUGCGCACAAAAAAGCGAAGAAAUCAUCAAAAAUAAUCCAUGAAAUAAGUUCAUCAGAGGAAUCAUGCAGUGAAGCAGAAGAAGAAAAUUUGAGAUUGCAGUCAGAAUGCAAAUCAAAGAAAAUUAUCAUCACGCAAGACAUAGAACCAGAUAAAAAAGUAAUCAAAUAGAAAGGAAAAAAACAGGUGAACUAAAUUGCAAUAAUAUAAAACCGUCAAAAGAAAUGAAGAGGACGGAUUCAUCCCAAAAAUCAUCAAAUGACACAAGUGAUCACGAACAUGUUCUUCUUCAUUAUGACUCAACCGUUGAGAACGAAGAUUCUUUGCUUCCGAAAAAAACAACUUAAAUCAUGGAUCGUCCAGAAUCAUCAUCAGUGACUUUGUAACCACAGUAGCAACCAGGAACCUCCUCACAUUUGUAUAAUUCUCAAAACAAUAUGUAUUACACAGCCCUGAAUCAAAACUUUAAUAACCCUUGGUAUCCCACUGCUCCAUAUAACCCUUAUUCAUUUAAUUAUAAUCACGAAAAUAGUUUUAAU
RNAcentral lists this unclassified non-coding RNA (3035 nucleotides) under Chelonus insularis. RNAcentral describes it as "uncharacterized LOC118074968, transcript variant X4". The record is from RNAcentral. Lineage: Eukaryota; Metazoa; Arthropoda; Insecta; Hymenoptera; Braconidae.